RNAcentral lists this long non-coding RNA (1106 nucleotides) under Chloebia gouldiae (Gouldian finch). RNAcentral describes it as "Erythrura gouldiae (Gouldian finch) lncRNA (ENSEGOG00005004724.1)". The record is from RNAcentral. Lineage: Eukaryota; Metazoa; Chordata; Aves; Passeriformes; Passeridae.
GAAACUCAGGAGGAAUUUUUAUGGGUUUGAAAUUCAGGUCUGUCAUUCUGGAACGGUUUGGUGUGGAGUGAAACCUCCUGAAAACAUAUCUGCGUCACUAGGCCCUCUCCAGGAGAUCCAUGCCUUCUCAUGGAUCUGCAUUAUGCUGUGUUUUCUGAUGAGUACUAAAGCAAUUAGCCAGAGUUUGGUUUCUCCAAGCAUCUCUUGGCUUACUGGAUUCUAGAUCCAACCAAAAAUACAUGAAGAGCUGAAUUUCAGGGAGAUUUGGGACACAGAGCACAAGAAGUUUUGGCUUGGAGGAAUUUGAAGAUAUGAUGCAGGAAUUGGCUCCAGCCAGUGUAUCUGGCUGGGAGUAGGGCAGACCCAUGAUGAGGCAGACAGAAAAAUGAUUAUUUUUGACUCACAUAAGAGGUCAUCAGGCAGCUAGGACCCAAAUCCAAGGAAAGUAGUGCAAAUCCUGGACUUCUUCCCAUAUUCCAAGUACUCGGGUACUCGGCUUGCCUCAGGCUUGGAAAGCUUCUGUACUUGAGAUCUAUUUGGUUGGAUAUGUACAAAUGUGUGUGUUGUUUUAUUUAGCUGGACGUAGACAAAACCAAGGACAUCCUGAAACUCUUCCUCCUCUGGCUGCUAAGAACACCCAAUCAUGUGAUCCUGUCUUACUUUGAAACCCAUCAAGUGCUAGAGCCAGCCUGGGGGCUCAGUCCUGAGCUCCAGCAUGGAAAUGGCCUGACCUGGAGCCACAUUACGGAUGGAGCCACCAGCUCAGAGUGAGCCUUGUGUGUGCUGGAGGAGAGAGCAUCCCAAGCUCUGGAAGGUCCUGUGAGGGUCCAGGGCCCCUCUUGCCAAUGGCACAGCAGGGCAGUGUGAGGUGGAUGUGUCACCUGACAGAGAGCAGGCUUGGGCCUUCUUGUCGUUUCCAUAGAUGGGGAAAGGAACACGUGCGUCGUUCAGCUUCUGUUGCUCCAUGUGUCGUGCUCCAUUACUCCAUCUCACUCGCAGCCACGGAGCAGGGGGAACACUGCCAAGGCUUUUUCUGGGAAUUUGCUCUGCUCCUGCUACUUCCCUGGUGGUGCUCCACUGAUGUGGGUUGUUUGAAGGGGGAAUAA